This 465-nucleotide ribosomal RNA is filed under the name uncultured Klebsiella sp. RNAcentral describes it as "bacterial SSU rRNA". It matches the Rfam family "Bacterial small subunit ribosomal RNA", at positions 338 to 795 of the family's 1533-position model. The record is from RNAcentral. Lineage: Bacteria; Pseudomonadati; Pseudomonadota; Gammaproteobacteria; Enterobacterales; Enterobacteriaceae.
CCUACGGGCGGCAGCAGUGGGGAAUAUUGCACAAUGGGCGCAAGCCUGAUGCAGCCAUGCCGCGUGUGUGAAGAAGGCCUUCGGGUUGUAAAGCACUUUCAGCGGGGAGGAAGGCGGUGAGGUUAAUAACCUCAUCGAUUGACGUUACCCGCAGAAGAAGCACCGGCUAACUCCGUGCCAGCAGCCGCGGUAAUACGGAGGGUGCAAGCGUUAAUCGGAAUUACUGGGCGUAAAGCGCACGCAGGCGGUCUGUCAAGUUGGAUGUGAAAUCCCCGGGCUCAACCUGGGAACUGCAUUCGAAACUGGCAGGCUAGAGUCUUGUAGAGGGGGGUAGAAUUCCAGGUGUAGCGGUGAAAUGCGUAGAGAUCUGGAGGAAUACCGGUGGCGAAGGCGGCCCCCUGGACAAAGACUGACGCUCAGGUGCGAAAGCGUGGGGAGCAAACAGGAUUAGAUACCCUAGUAGUC